This 493-nucleotide ribosomal RNA is filed under the name uncultured bacterium. Its description in RNAcentral is "bacterial SSU rRNA". It matches the Rfam family "Bacterial small subunit ribosomal RNA", at positions 28 to 517 of the family's 1533-position model. The record is from RNAcentral.
GAUGAACGCUAGCGGCAGGCCUAACACAUGCAAGUCGAGGGGCAGCACGAGUAGCAAUACUUGGUGGCGACCGGCGCACGGGUGAGUAACGCGUAUGCAACCUACCUUUAACUGGAGAAUAGCUCGAAGAAAUUCGGAUUAAUACUCCAUAAUAUUAUCUGAUGGCAUCAGAGGAUAAUUAAAGCUCCGGCGGUUAAAGAUGGGCAUGCGUGCCAUUAGCUAGUUGGUAAGGUAACGGCUUACCAAGGCUACGAUGGCUAGGGGGUCUGAGAGGAUGAUCCCCCACACUGGAACUGAGACACGGUCCAGACUCCUACGGGAGGCAGCAGUGAGGAAUAUUGGUCAAUGGGGGCAACCCUGAACCAGCCAUGCCGCGUGAAGGAUGAAGGCCUUAUGGGUUGUAAACUUCUUUUGUACGGGGCGAACUGUUUUAUGCGUAAAGACUUGACAGUACCGUACGAAUAAGCAUCGGCUAACUCCGUGCCAGCAGCCG